RNAcentral lists this ribosomal RNA (1209 nucleotides) under Triticum aestivum (bread wheat). RNAcentral describes it as "partial small subunit ribosomal RNA". The record is from RNAcentral. Lineage: Eukaryota; Viridiplantae; Streptophyta; Magnoliopsida; Poales; Poaceae.
AUGAUCACGGAGUUGCCACAUGAGAUCGGGAACCUCCAGAAUUUGGAGAAUCUGAACCUGCAUGGGACCAUGCUGGUAGAGCUCCCUGCGGAGACUGGGAAGUUGCAGCAUUUGAAAAAGCUGUGUGUGGGCUCCUCGCCAAUGGUCACAAUGCUACCUAGUGAAAUCGGUGACCUGCAGCAGUUAGAGACAUUGGACCUGAGUUACAACAGAGGGCUCACACAACUUCCUCGUGAGAUGGGGAAACUGCAGAAUUUGAAGCGGCUGCUCUUGAAUGAUAUAGGGGUGGUGAAGAUACCAAGGGAAAUCGGAUGGCUGAAGAAGCUAGAGAUUUUGAAAUUAGACGAUACCAUCAGUGCGCUACCCUGGGAAGCUAGUCAUCUCUCGAAACUGGAGGGAGCGCCCAAGUGCGUCCGCCAAGCCUGGAAGAAGAGUGAUCUUGUGUCUGAGUUAGCCGGGGAGAUCUUGUCCAUUCGACUGGUCAAUCGGUCCACUGAUAGCGGGGGCCUAAUCGUUGGCAGAAAACACAUGGGAAUUCCACGGUGUAUCAAGGAUCACUUCAAUGACCUUAGUUCCUUGGAUAUCAGGAUAUGCAAACUGGACGAGCGGGACCUCAAGAUUCUGCGGGAGAUGUACCUGGGCGAACUCACGCUAAGGUUUGAAGUCGUCCCAAGAAAGCCCAUAGCCAUCAGCGGUGAAGGAUUCCCAUGCCUCAUGCAACUCGUUGUUGACAGCCGUUGUGUGCCAUGGUUUACCUUCCAGGAAGGAGCGAUGCCGUGGCUGCAUAGGCUUGAGUUCGAGUUCCAGUUCUACGGUGGCCCACCUCCAGCUGCAAAUAAAGGAGACCCUCAGCUGGGUAUCAAGCACCUCGGGAGCCUCGAGUGGGUCGAAUUUAUAUGCAACGAGGAAUGGUAUGGAGGAGCAGCAGAGAGCAGGAGCCCGUGCAUGAGCGACAUGAUUGACAUGGCCAGGAAAGAAGCCCAGGAGCAUCCCAACAAGAUCUACUUUCUUGUCACUGGCCGCGAGAAAGAGGAAUUUCCAGCAAUCAAGGAGAGCGCACAGGCUUCCAGCAGCGGGACAAGCAAGAUCGACGACACUCCAAAUAGUGGGAGGGGCGAGAUCCAGGAGGAGGAAGAGACUUUUCCAAGGAACGAGAGCCGAAAGGUUUCCGGCAGUGGGACGACUGGCGAGAUCCAGGAAGAAGCGUGA